Long non-coding RNA from Elaeis guineensis (African oil palm), 833 nucleotides. RefSeq lists it as uncharacterized. Lineage: Eukaryota; Viridiplantae; Streptophyta; Magnoliopsida; Arecales; Arecaceae. The record is from RefSeq and is a predicted model, not a curated record.
GACAUAUCCCAUUAGAUAUGGAUGAUGCUGCUUUGGAGGGUCUAUUAGCUGGCAUACAGCAUGAUCAGGUUGAUCUACUAGGAUGCAGGUGGAGGACUCGAUUGAUUGGUGCUAAUAAUCCGGUGCUACACACAGUUAUAUAUUAUAGGGAUCAGUUAGAUCAGCAGCAUGAUGAUCAGAUAUUAUGGGUGCCUUACACACCAGAUAUAUUAACCGCAUUGCCCGAGAUAUGUCGAUCAGAUCAGCAUGUAUGGAGGACACGCGCACCUCUCAUUUGCUUCGACAUCGUGGAGAGUUUGGCAUGCACCAGGAUGUUCCCCCACCAUAUGACACUUGAGACGCUCUCCACCGUUUGGAUCGAUGAGGGCGACAUCAUCAUGAUUGGGUUCGAGAGCAUUGGGAGUAUAUUGAUGCAUGGGAGAGAUGAGAGGAUUUGAUUGUUGCUGGUCCACCUAUGCUUUCCAUGAUGGAUUAUUAUGAUCCAUGUCUGUAGUGGUACAGGAGCAUCACCAGAUGAUUCAUCUCGCUAUUGAUGAGUGAGCAUCUCGAGAUGAGGUUCCGUACUUCGAGUGGUAUGAUGGAUAUUGUGUUUCAUAGGAUCACAUCGUGAUAUUAUACGAUAAGGAGUAGAUUCCAUUCGAUCGCUGUUGGAUGUAAGGAUCGAGCACUUAUCGAUAUUAUGGACGGCCUUAUUGAUACUAUGCGAGUUGUCUCAAAGGAUAGACGACUUUAAAUUGUGCCAUCGGCAACCAGAAAUGAGACACAUUUACGAGAGACGGAUGCGUAGGAGGCUCCAGUAUCUUGAUAUAUACAGCUCUCGAUAAUUAUGAUAU